UUACAGCAUCAUCCCUAGAUCCCACUGGCUGCCCUCUGGGAUCACUCUGUGUUUCAGUGAAAGAAAUCAAACAGUGCUGUCUCUUAAUUACAUAAUCAGGAUAAAUAAUAGGAAGAAUCACUUGAUGGGAAUUCCAAUGGAGAAAAUGGGAGUGAAGUAGGAAGUACAGGUAUCAGGAAACAACAGAUGAACAUCUCCCAUGUCCCUGCAUUUGAGGAAUGAGGAGCAAACAGAUUUGAAGGAUGAACAGACACUCCAGCCAACUCUUCUGAGAAGACUGGGGAUUCUGCCUCUGCAAUGGCAAGAGAAAUGGAUUAUUGAAACAGGAACUGUAGCACCUGUGCUCUUGGCUCAUCAAAGGAAGCAAUACUAG
Molecule: long non-coding RNA, 373 nt
Filed under: Cyanistes caeruleus (blue tit)
Lineage: Eukaryota; Metazoa; Chordata; Aves; Passeriformes; Paridae
Description: lncRNA (ENSCCEG00000002899.1)
Source: RNAcentral